GACGAACGCUGGCGGCGUGCUUAACACAUGCGAGUCGAACGGAAAGGCCCUGCUUUUGUGGGGUGCUCGAGUGGCGAACGGGUGAGUAACACGUGAGUAACCUGCCCUUGACUUUGGGAUAACUUCAGGAAACUGGGGCUAAUACCGGAUAGGAGCUCCUGCUGCAUGGUGGGGGUUGGAAAGUUUCGGCGGUUGGGGAUGGACUCGCGGCUUAUCAGCUUGUUGGUGGGGUAGUGGCUUACCAAGGCUUUGACGGGUAGCCGGCCUGAGAGGGUGACCGGCCACAUGGGGACUGAGAUACGGCCCAGACUCCUACGGGAGGCAGCAGUGGGGAAUAUUGCACAAUGGGCGGAAGCCUGAUGCAGCAACGCCGCGUGCGGAUGACGGCCUUCGGGUUGUAAACCGCUUUCGCCUGUGACGAAGCGUGAGUGACGGUAAUGGGUAAAGAAGCACCGGCUAACUACGUG
Molecule: ribosomal RNA, 467 nt
Filed under: uncultured bacterium
Lineage: Bacteria
Description: partial 16S ribosomal RNA
Rfam family: Bacterial small subunit ribosomal RNA
Source: RNAcentral